AAUAUUGGACAAUGGGGGCAACCCUGAUCCAGCCAUGCCGCGUGUGUGAAGAAGGUCUUCGGAUUGUAAAGCACUUUAAGUUGGGAGGAAGGGCUUUAGGCUAAUACCCUGAAGUUUUGACGUUACCAACAGAAUAAGCUCCGGCUAACUUCGUGCCAGCAGCCGCGGUAAUACGAAGGGUGCAAGCGUUAAUCGGAAUUACUGGGCGUAAAGCACGCGUAGGUGGUUCAGUAAGAUAGGUGUGAAAUCCCCGGGCUUAACCUAGGAACUGCUUUCAUAACUGCUGAGCUAGAGUACGGUAGAGGGUAGUGGAAUUUCCUGUGUAGCGGUGAAAUGCGUGGAUAUAGAAAGGAACACCAGUGGCGAAGGAGACUACCUGGACUGAUACUGACACUGAGGUGCGAAAGCGUGGGGGGCAAAC
Molecule: ribosomal RNA, 421 nt
Filed under: uncultured bacterium
Lineage: Bacteria
Description: partial 16S ribosomal RNA
Rfam family: Bacterial small subunit ribosomal RNA
Source: RNAcentral